ACGGAGGAUCCAAGCGUUAUCCGGAAUCAUUGGGUUUAAAGGGUCCGUAGGCGGUCUUAUAAGUCAGUGGUGAAAUCUCCCCGCUCAACGGGGAAACGGCCAUUGAUACUGUAGGACUUGAAUUAUUAGGAAGUAACUAGAAUAUGUAGUGUAGCGGUGAAAUGCUUAGAGAUUACAUGGAAUACCAAUUGCGAAGGCAGGUUACUACUAAUGGAUUGACGCUGAUGGACGAAAGCGUGGGUAGCGAACAGGAUUAGAUACCCUGGUAGUCCACGCCGUAAACGAUGGAUACUAGCUGUUGGGAGCAAUUUCAGUGGCUAAGCGAAAGUGAUAAGUAUCCCACCUGGGGAGUACGUUCGCAAGAAUG
Molecule: ribosomal RNA, 367 nt
Filed under: uncultured bacterium
Lineage: Bacteria
Description: bacterial SSU rRNA
Rfam family: Bacterial small subunit ribosomal RNA
Source: RNAcentral